Aquila chrysaetos chrysaetos is the source of this 1695-nucleotide RNA transcript. Lineage: Eukaryota; Metazoa; Chordata; Aves; Accipitriformes; Accipitridae. The record is from RefSeq and is a predicted model, not a curated record.
GGUAGAUGAUUGAGGGGGGAUCCUGCUGUGACACCCGCCAGCUCCUUCGGUGCCCUGGGACGAAUCCCGUCCGGCCCCGCGGACUCGUGGACGUUCAACUGGUAUAACUGGUCCCUUGCGAUUUCAAAUGGAAAAUCACUGCCCUCGCAGCCGUGACCGUCCCAACUCCGUUUGACACCCUUGGGCACACAGAUAAGCCGGCGGUGCUUGGCAGUGCCGGGGCGGUUGUGGGAAGGCGGGUGACCGGAGAAGGGCAGCGGAAGCAGCUAAAAGCAUGGAGGACAUCCGGAGAGACGAGUGCUCGCGGGACUCUGACGGUCUGAGUGGACCCGCUCGCCCCGAGGACAAGAGGAUGCUCGGCGUGGCUUUCGGCAUCGGGGUCCUACUGGCCCUGGUGGGCGGCACGGCCGCCCACGGCUGCGCCGCCCCGAAGGAGCUGGUCUCCGAGAUGCUGCAGCGCCUGGAGGAGUCCGUCAAGGCGGACGAGCUGCCGAACCCCAGCGUCCUGCUGGCCAUGAACCUGGUCGGGGCCACCGGCACUGAGACCAACAAGUGGCUGCUCCAGCAGAUACAGCUGGAGGCCGUGAAGAGAGCCCAGAAAGACAUGACUUCGGGAGAGGUGGCUCUGUACGUGCUCGCCCUCUUCUCCUCCUGCCAGAACCCCCGGCACGUCCAUGCCCUAGGGCAGACCAUCAACCUGCUCCAAGUCCUGCAGGAGAAAACGGACGAGGAGAUGGCCAGCCUGGACUUGGAGGGCGUCCCGAAGACCACCCUGUACAGCGUCAGCCUGGACGCCCUGGCCCUGUGCCUGGCAGAAGUAGGUGGCUACCAAGGGGCAUCCGUGAUCCUGGCCAAGCGGGUGCUGACACCCGAGAGCCACCUCUCUGUGGACACCCGUGCCGUGGCGGCGAUGGCGAUGGCGUGCGCGUACGGCCGGACGGACCUCUACGACGUGCAGGAACUGCUCCAGGAGGCACUGUGGGUGGUGACCAACGGCUUCCUCGACGAGCAGGAGAAAGAGGGUGGCACGAUCGGGAAUAUCUACAGUAUGGGGCUGGCCCUGCAGGUGCUGGGGGCCACGAGCAAGUUUUACUUGCCGCGGGAGUGGGAUUGCGCCCAGGCUUUCUCCGUGGUGUACAGCCAUGACUACCGCCAGCCCACGGCCAUCGCCCAGGUCCUGCCUGCCCUCGUGGGCAUGUCGUACCUGGAUGCGGCCAGCCUGGACUGCGCCGCCAGCGCCGGCGCGUCCCCGACCCGACAGCCGUCCCUGUCCCCAAAGCUGGGUACGACCGCGGCUCCCGGUAGCCGCCAUCACGGUGCACUACUCCAUCGUCAACGAGCUGCAGGGAAGGCACUUCAGGUACACCACCUCGGUGCAGGUCCCGGUCGGCUCCACGCUGCUCAAGGUGCUGCAGGCGGCGGCGGCGAAGAAACCCGACAUCUUUAGCUUCCAGACGGAGCAGACGUCCUGGGGCCCCAUGGUGGUCUCCAUCCACGGGCUGGCCGCCAACCCGGACGACAAGACCUACUGGAAGUUCCUCAGCGGCGCGGAUGCCCUCCAAGAAGGGGUCGGCACCUACAAGCCGUGGAACGGGGAGCACAUCCAGGCUGUCUUCAGCCUCUACUGAUGUCGCCGAGGGACGCUUGGCCCCGCCGGGCCCACCGUGGCGGCAAUAAAGAGCCAUUUGCAGCGCA